RNAcentral lists this ribosomal RNA (443 nucleotides) under uncultured bacterium. RNAcentral describes it as "partial 16S ribosomal RNA". It matches the Rfam family "Bacterial small subunit ribosomal RNA", at positions 338 to 795 of the family's 1533-position model. The record is from RNAcentral.
CCUACGGGAGGCAGCAGUAGGGAAUCUUCCGCAAUGGGCGCAAGCCUGACGGAGCAACGCCGCGUGAGUGAUGAAGGCUUUCGGAUUGUAAACUUCUGUUCUCAGGGACGAACCAAGUGACGGUACCUUAUGAAUAAGCCACCGCUAACUACUUGCCAGCAGCCGCGGUAAUACGUAGGUGGCAAGCGUUAUCCGGAUUUACGGGGUGUAAAGUGCGUGUAGGAGGGAUUUCAAGUCAGAUGUGAAAACCAUGGGCUCAACCUAUGGGCGGCAUUUGAAACUGUAGUUCUUGAGUACUGGAGAGGAAGAUGGAAUUCCUAGUGUAGCGGUGAAAUGCGUAGAGAUGAGGAGGAACACCAGUGGCGAAGGCGGUUUGCUGGACAGUAACUGACGCUGAGGUGCGAAAGCGUGGGGAGCAAACAGGAUUAGAUACCCUAGUAGUC